Molecule: long non-coding RNA, 367 nt
Filed under: Nicotiana benthamiana
Lineage: Eukaryota; Viridiplantae; Streptophyta; Magnoliopsida; Solanales; Solanaceae
Description: long non-coding RNA (NBEN_LNC025739)
Source: RNAcentral
GCAUGCCUUCUUUCUGAAUGACAUAGGUUCUCUUCUUCUCAUGGUCUAUUAUCGCAAUUUUCUUUGGUGUGCUCAGAUAUACCCUGUCAAUCUAACAAAAAGAAAAGGUCUAGAUCAACAUAAUAAUAAGAAGAAAUCAAGUACUCCUCUUCUCGAUGAAUUAUGAAAAAUUCAAAAAUAGAUCAACAUAAUAAUGAGGAGAAAUCAAGUAAUCCUCUUUUCGAUGAAUUAUGAAAAAUUCAAAAAACCAAGCAUACUGAAUUGAUGGAAGAGAAGAUCCUCUGGCACCUAGUGGUCCUGAGUUCAAAUGAAGGUGUCUAUCCUCUGUUAAAUAUGGAGAACAGCCUAACAUAGUAACGUUACCUCA